CAGGCUUAGCCAUACGACAGAUCAUUAGCAUUCUCAGCUUGGACAAUGGAACAGCAUAAAGCUGCCGCCGUUGCAGAAGCUGUGCCCCAAUACCAUCGACAACACUUGGAAGCAAAGGCAUCUAGUUAUUCAAUACAAAGAACAAGCUAAGAUAAUUUUCCUCCCACAUAGAAUAUUCCAAACAAAAUAAAAUGAGAAAAGCUUGAAACUAAAAUAGGAUGCACUAAAGAAAUGCACACAGUUAAUCUGAAUCAAACUCAAUAAAAAGAAUUAAAAAAUAUAAAAAAAAAAGUAGUCAUGAACAUACAGCCAUCUAAAACCACUUAAUAAAAAUUUGCCAUAUUCUCUAAAUACUGUAUCAUUCAUAAUUCAGAUCAAGGGUCAUCAAAAUUAUUGCACCACACAGUAUAAUCUCUUUUAUAUUAGGAAACAAAUAAAUUCAAAGACAACGAACUUCUGUCGUUUGCCAUUUCACGAAAAAAUAAUUAGCUCAUACCUGAAUUCCUUUAUUUUAGUAAGAAACAAAAAUGAGUAUAUUGAUAAAAAGAGAAAAGGUACAGAUCUUGACCAGAUAUAUCCACAUCGGUUACAAAAACACCGUACAAAGAGGAUUUAAAACAACCAAAAAAGGAACAUAUCAAUCAUUCUGAGAAUUACCAAAAAUGUAAGACACAACAAGCAAGAUGAUAAGAAAGGAAGAUGUGUAGUUAAUUUUUGGAAACCAAUACCAAAAGCGGAGAAGAAUAAUCACUCUAUAUCACAACUGUUUGAUAUAAAUUUAUUAAAUUUAUUCCACCUUCACAAACUAGCAUAGAGAUAUAAAUUUCUUCCCUGUGGACAUGACUACUGAAUCUUAUGGAACAUUUUUCUUCUGUAUGGCACAUUUACGAAAUCUGCUUCUUUGGAUACAGAAUUUUUUGAAGAAAGGGAACUACAACUUAACUAUUUCCUAACUUUGUAAAGCAAAUCACCGAAGUUAAAUUAGCAGCGAAAACCAAGCAUACCGGUAGUCCCAUCAUGUUUGCUGUCACAGCAGGAUUUUCCAGAUUAUUGUGCGCAUCAAAAAGCUCCAAAACAAAAGAGUUCCAAUAAUCCAAGCAAACCUGCUCAUAAAUGUGUCCGGCAAGUACAGAUCAUGAAAUAAGUUCAACAAUUCAAAUAUUCAAUCCCUAGUCAAGAAGCAAAGAAAAAUAGUUCUAUGGAGGUAACUUAUUAAAAACCACCACACCUUAAAAACCUCUGUUUCAUCCACAUAUGAUAUAUUAAUGAGAUAUUCAAGACCCAUCAGCAAUGCACUUAUAUUUUCUUGAGUGGAUUCGAGCACUCUGAUAUGAAACUGCACCAAGAGAAUAACAUCAGAUAGAUAAUUAGUUAUCAUAGAGUUUAUAUGCAAGCAAAAUGAAAAUGUAUUGUGUGUUUAAAUGCAUAUCAGUAAACCCACAAAUAUACAAAUUGUGUGUUUGAAAACCUGUAUCAUUAUUUAAAAUCUCCCAACAGUACUCAGGUUCUUAUGAAAAGCACAAGGUGCAGUUGGUUAUCCUUAAAAUGUUUUUCUCUAAUCUGUGAUAAUUAAAACAUUGAAGGGGGGAGAGAGGGAGAGGGUUGGUGUGUUUCUUUUUUUUUGGGUUGAAUGAUAUAACAAGCACAAUCAGAAAAUGGAAAGAAAUAAGGAUUGAUGACUAAAAAGGUCAAUAGAUAAAUCUAAAAUAGACAUGAUAGCGUGGAACUAACAAAAUAUACUUCAACUGUAUUAAUAGAAUGGUUAAGCAUGUACGGUACUUAACAUGUAAUUUUGCUCUGGAUAGUUACUGCAUCUGCAUUGGAGCAGUUCAGUAUCUAGUUGUAUAUUCUCAGGUUGUAUCAUGUUUCAGUCAUAAAAAAGAUACUCAUCAUAUUAUUUUCUUUUAUUAUUAAAAGUUUCUCUGCCAGCAUAAAAAUCUACCAACGGACAAUUAAAAAAGUCAAUGACUGUUUACAAGGGUGGUCUAAGUGACCAUCCAUUCACAAACAAAAAUCAUUAGCAUUCAUCAGAUUGCUCUAAUCAAUGCAAUGAAAAAUCAUUCUUAAGUUUCAUAUAUAAAUAAAUAAAUACCAAUGAAAAAGAGUGCCAAAUUUUGAAUAAAUGCCUGAAGAAAUAACAUAAAAUACAUUAGCCCAUAAAUUGUAAAAUAAACAUUGUGCUUCACUAUUGCCAUGAGCAAUGAGAUAUUACCUGUUCCUCACUAUUGCCAUGAGCAUAAGCCUCAGGGAUGUUUGUAGUUGGAGGAAGAAUAGUCUAACAAUGUAAGAAAAAAGAAAUUAAAUAUGGACAUAAAAUAUGAAAUCCAAACAGUGACACACUUAAGUUUACAAUCACAUGCUUCCAGUUACUUCUCAAAAACGAAAAAAAAAAGGAUUACCAAAAGAAAAAUCUACUGAAAAUAUAAUUAUCAUAAAUAUAAAGUAAAUGUAAGAACAAUGUAUUAACACACCUGUAACUGAACCAUGAAUACAUUAUACAUGUUAACAUACUGCACAUUAUAGAAGUCCCCAAAAUUAAGGGCUCCAACCUGCCAACAUCAUAAUGAAAUAAAUAAACAGUUCAUGCCAGGCAUUUCAAAGUAAAAGACAAAUAUUCUUUUAGCUCAGAUACAAAAUAAGUGUACAAACACACCCGCACACACACACACAUAUAUAUAUAAGGGACAAGAAGUCCGCAAAAAAAAAAAGUCCAAAAAAUACGAUUUCACAAUAAAUUGCAAUUUGUAAAACAGUGUACCUCCGUCAAACAUUGCAGAGUAAGAUUUCUAUAAGAAGGCAUGGGAAAGAAUUUCAGCAGUGUUUCCAGCUGCAAGGCACAAAAAAGAAGACAGAGCAUGAAAAUUGAGAACUCACAUCAAUUACAACAGAAACUACAUUCUCUACUUAAAUCAAUAACAACAAAUCAGGAGAAAAUACAUACUAAUGGGGACUCAAAAAUAUAGCCCAAGGGAAUCCAUGACAGGAAUGCAUGCAGUGUGGACAGUGUCGCCCUUAUGAGAUCAGUUCUUUGAGAUGCGGAUAGUACAUAUAAGCAUAACUCAUGAAUGAGCUGAAACUCACUGUAUUAUAUAUAAAAAAAAUCAUAAGAUAAAUAAUGUAAAUUGAAAAGAGAAAGAUGUCAAUUAAAAAUUAAAACAGAGGCUCAGCAAUGAAUAUUUAGAAAUACCAAGAAUCCAGCGCGUGUAAAACAAUAACCAGAUUAUAAGUUCUUCACAGCAUAUAGUGGUAAUGGCAGUUUACUAAACACACUCAAACUAUGUACUCCCUCUCUGUAUUUGAAAAAUUCAAAAUUAAGCAGCAGAAAAAGAAAAGGGCCCUGCAAACUGUUAUUAUUAUUAAACAUAAAAACAAUUCCCUCAACAAUCUGUACUUCUGAGAUUCAAAAGAAGCAUAAAGGUAAUAAAAGUACUUAAGAUGUCAUUUCAACCAGGAAUACAUGGUGUCCAAUAAAAUUAACUGAAAAUUGAGGAGUAAUUUCACUUAUUUUAGCUAGAGUUGAAUAACAAACUAGAAGCAACUUAGUGCAAGAAGAUGGUAUUUAGAAUAUCCUGAAGAUCUGUGGAGAUCUCAAAACUUGCAAAUACAUCAAGAGACUUGCCUGUUUAAUGAUUGCUUAAGCUCUUUGAUCUUCUGCUGAGUCAUUUCCCCUCUUGAAAAAUCAAAAACUUCUUCGCUUAAAAGCUGACAUUAAAAGGAAUCACAUGUUACUUACAUUCACCAAAACCUUACACUGCAAAAGAGCAAUGCAAGAACACACAUACCUUGAGAAUAGCCAUGCAAUUCUCACAAAUGGUUUCACUAGUUUUUGCUGCUGCAACAAGAUCAGGAAUAAAGCUUCGCCACCGUGCAGGCCACUCAUGCUUCAAAAUCUGUAAUACCAGUAAGAAUAAGCAUUAUCACAUGCCAUGCUACAGUAUAAAUGCGUGCUCUGAACAAUUUUUAAAAAAUCAUACCAGAAAAAGAGAUUCGGAAAACACGUGUAAUUUAUAGGAAAAUAAAUGUGCAAUCAAUAAGAUAUCAUCAGCACAACAUUCAUUCUACUAAUUUAUUUUACAGAGAGUCAAGCUGGGAAUACCUGAACCAAUAUGAUAUUCAGCUUGUUGACGUACAGCCUUUCUUCUCGAAAAGAGGUCUCAUUACUUGAUAGCUAUGUAAGCGUGACCAAAGUAUAGGCAUUGUCAAAAAAAAAUGAUAAAAUAUAUAAAACAUUUUCUUAGCCCAUCUCAUGAAGAAAAUACAGAUACCUGUACAAUGACUUCAGAAAUGUAAUUUUUCAUUCCAUCCCGCUGUUCAACAGGUAAUGCGUUCCACCUAUAUUUAAUAACACCUUCGAGAACCUGCAUACCAUAUACGCAGAGAAAAUGAAAAGUCUACCUAACACCAGCACCUCAAUAAUGAUUAUCGAUAUUUAAUAACAUGUUCAAAAACUAAUAAGAAGAUCAAAUUUAAUAAGAAUCAGUUAGUAAUGUAAAUUGUUGUUGGUGAAUCAGUAAUGUAAAUUGUUGAUGGUGAUGGAUAUUAUCCAUCUAGAUCUUGUUCUUCUUCCCUUUUUCUAACAGUGAACAAGCUAUGCACAAAGAAAGCAGAAAUCAAGGAUCAAACUAACCACAGAAGUAAAAAGAACAAGGUUCUGUCAAAAUAACAUCAGUAAUGUUAUAGAAAGCAUAUUCUGCAUCACAUCUCCAAGUUAUAUAGUAUGAAAAGAAAAGGCACUUCUCGAAACUCUUAGGUAAAAAAUGACCAAAGAGAUGUCCCAAAAAUUUUAAUUUGUCCCUACAAUACUAAGUAUCCUCCAGUAUAAAGUCUACAUAAGAUCUUGUGUUUCUCUCAAUCUGACUAGCACAGCCCACAAUAACCAGCUUUUUUAUUACUCCAAAAAGCAGAGAAUGUUUCGGUAAAGAGAAAGCAGCAAAAGAAAAUACAAAUUGAAAAAAAAAAAAAAAACAGCGUAACUGUAAAAAAGUAUAACUACUGUGACUAACAGUUCUGAGCAAAGAUAACAAACAUCUAUGCAUUUUCAAAUAAGGGGAAAAAUUAAUAAUUGUGAAAACAGAGAGCUGACUAACUUGCUUUUAUACGCUAUACUAUUGCACUAAGUGUAGAUAACAAUGAACAUAAAUGUUGUCACUGACCUGCAAGGCGAAAAACUUGGUAUUGAGGUUUUUUGAAUUUUGCAGGAUGUGCACAACUUGGAGCCACAUAUCAGGAUUAUUUUGCAAGUCCCGCAAGAUCUGAUCUGCAGCUGUUCUCUACAUCACCAACAAAAAUAGAAACAAACAAUGAGAUAAAACCCCAAUGCACAGUUAAACAGGAAACCACCACUUACCACAAAUAAAGCUAGUAAUUUAACGAAUAGAAUUACAAAAUGUGGAAAUGAGACAUCAAACAUAUUUCCUUCAAUUCCAUAAAAUAAUUACCCAAAUUUUAUCUAAUUAAAUGAAUUAAUUUAAUUAAAGAUAUUACCAAUUCUUAAGAUGUUUUCUAUUAAUACAUGUUUUACUUUAACGAAGCAGAAAGAACUCAAAUAUCAGUUUGCCCAACAAAUAAACAUGCUGUAAACUAACGCAUAAGCAACUAAAACCUAAAUCUCGUGAAACCACCAAUUUGUUAGCCAAGAAAUCAAAGAAAAUGAAUAGACAGGAAUGAAACAAUGAAGACAAUGAAACCCAUAUUUCCUGACAGAAAAGUCAACUUAACUAGUAGACAUACUCUCACACAAUCCUCUGCACUUCCUUCAUUUUCCAAACUACCAGGAAAAUAAUAAAAAUUCCAAGUACAGUAAAAGUCAAGAAAUUUCAACCUUAUUACAAAUAAUAAAAUUUACCCUAUCUUCCUACACUUUGAUGUGGACCAAACAGAAUAUCUUGAGAAUUGCAAGUUAGCUUAUUGAGAACUCCAACCCUCAAUUUUUUUCCUGAAAUGAUCGAGGUGAAUAAAAACCCUGAGUCUAUAAGUCUCAAGGGCAUUGCACCAAAGAAUCUAAAACUCAUUUUCUCAUAAUUUAUAAUAAACAAAUCCAAAUCGUCAAAGCUAAAGAAGGCUUAGCGUCCUAAACCCCGAGUUUUGGCAUUUGCCUAUUUAUUGCCUCACCAUUUUCAAAACCAAACAAACAGAACCAGCAGUGACCGGAGAAAAAUAGUUAUGAAAGUUAGGUGGUAUGCUCGCUAAACCCUAAUGUUCAAAUGUCACUCACUCUCUCAAGAACCAGAGAUCACAAUUUCUCUUAGUAUUGACUUAGCCAAUGAAACCCUAAAAGAAUACACAUGUCGAAAACGCCCUCAUUCUCCCGCAACUCGGGAACCGAGCAGAAACUAAAAAGAGAGAAAACCAAAAAGUCACGUGAAAACCCUCUUAUAAUCGUAUUGAAGUCAAAUAGUUUAGACGAACAGAGUGAUAUUCCGUUACUUUCUCGGGAAACAAAUAGAAAAGUAGUAUGAUGAGAGAGAAGAGGAAAGGCAACAGACCUCUUCCUUAGAUCCGGUGCCAUAGAAGGCAGCAACAGUGGCGUCAAGCAACGCGACGUCCAUCGGCUGGCUUAAAUCUCGGAGCUUCUCAGCCGCCAUAUCUGAAACCUCAGACACGGCACUACCACACUGUCUCCGAAAAGGAACACUAAUAAAACCCUAGAUAGUGUACGGUCCAAACCCUAAGAGAGAGAAAAAGGUAAAGAUUUGAUUUUCUAGAGAGAGAGUUGAGGGAAAAAGAUUAGAUGAGAGUGUUGUGUAAACUUUAAAUAGAGGGAGCGGAGUCGAAGGAUAUAUUAAAAGACAGCUUAAAAUCGAAGCAGAGAGGGAGAGAAAGAGACUUUGAAAUGUGUUUUUCUCCCCUUUUUUUAAUUUUUAUUUUUAAUCAUUUUUUCACUUAAUUAAUUCGGAAAAAAGAGAGAGAGAGAGAGAGAAAAACAGAGAUUUUAGGGCCCUAGAAUUUACAAGGGUUUGGGAGAAGGAGGGUGGAGGCUUUUUGGUGCUAAAAUUUAAUUUAUUGAUUUUUUAUAAAAUUCAAUUUAAUUAAUUUAAUAAAAAUGUAAUUAAGUAAGUAAUUAAGGCGCGCGUACCGUGACUCUAGAAUAAACCUUGGUCAUUGGUGUAUUGGGUGGGGCCAACGGCCGUGAUUCUUGAACGACGUCGCUUGUAAUUAAUGACUUGUGCGAGAGAACAGAGAUGUGAAAAUCAGUUGUCUUCCUCGUCACCACAUGAUUUGCCACCUUUUUACCAUUUCAGUUCGUAUUCGUUCUUAUUAAAGACAAUUUUUCAGAUAGCUUAAGAAAAAUAUCAAUUUGUUAAUAUUCAUCAAUAAAGAAAAAAAAUUUAAUAAAUCUAUAUAUUUAUAUAAAAUUGGGAUUACAAGAGGUGAUGUAGCAUCACUAUUUCUCAUCUUUGUAUAUUCUCUAUUAUCUAAUAAAUAAAUAAAAUUUCUUUUAAAUUUGUCUUUUUAUCUUCUCAUAAUUAAUUUGACUGUUAUUACACAAUUAAUCUGUAACAAUUCAUCAAAAGACCCAUUAUCUUCUUUAAUUGAAAUCUUCUUGAUCAUAAAUCUAUAUAUUAGAGGUAUAUAUAGUUUUUAUAAUGGAAAAUCAAAGUCUUUCACAAGCCUAGCUGAUGUCUCCUCUGCUUCAUUUAUCUAUCUAUCUAUAUAAUUAUAUAAAGUUGGGAUUAUAAAAAGUGAUGUGGCAUCGCCAUUUCUCAUCUUUGUAUAUUCUUUAUUAUUUAAUAAAUAAAUAAAUAAAUAAUUUUUCUUUCAAAUUUACCUUUUUAUCUUCUCAUAAUUAAUUUGACUGUUAUUACACAAUCAAUAAGUAACAGUUCAUCAAAAGACUCACUAUCUUCUCUAAUUGAAACCUUCUAACUCACUAUCUUCUCUAAUUGAAACCUUCUUGAUCAUAAAUCUAUAUAUUAGAGGUAUAUCCAGUUUUUAUAAUGGAAAAUCAAAGUCUUUCACAAGCCUAGCUGAUGUCUCCUCUGCUUCAUCUAUCAAAGAACUUGCGAAGCCAGAAGAUCCAUACACCAGGAAAUGCAAGAAUCUAUUAGCUCAUAAUAACUUAUUUGAUAAGAAUCACAACCACCAAUUUAAAAGUAAUGGGAGAGGGGCAUCAAAGAAACCGGCCAACUGUGGUCGAAGCGCCAUGGUUUCGGGAAUGACCAUGAAAAGCUGUGAAAUGAAUCACAGAGGGGAUUCCGACUCGAUUGCUUCAUCACAUUUGCAUCAUCUUCCACCUCUACAUCCUCAAGGUAAAAAAUCUCCCAGCAAUGGAUCACCGCCACCACCUCUUCGACGAAACUCCCACCGGCAUUCUUUCUCCUUGUCUGAUCUACAAUGUGUUGCUGCUGCAAGUCCUAACAUAUAACUGUUUUAGCAUUUCAUGGCAGAGAUGUGGACAACAAAUAGUAUUGAAAUUUAACUUCUUUCUUUCUUUUUUCCAUGUUUUGAACCUGGAAGUUGGAAGAAAUUUCUUGUUGUUAAAGUCUUUGGCAGUUAGUUUACUUCUUUUAUCUUGUAGUCUUUGUCGAUUGUACUUGUAGCUUUAGGUAUACCACUUAUGAUGUGUAUUUUGGAGCCUUUAUCUGCAGCUGUACUCUUUCUUUUUCCUUGCUUCCUUUGGCUUGUAGACGGUGACUAGAUUGCUCCACUGUAUCAAACAAAUAUCUAAAUAUAUCUUU
Molecule: long non-coding RNA, 8678 nt
Filed under: Citrus sinensis (sweet orange)
Lineage: Eukaryota; Viridiplantae; Streptophyta; Magnoliopsida; Sapindales; Rutaceae
Description: long non-coding RNA (CSIN_LNC002290)
Source: RNAcentral